GAAGCGGGCCAGGCCGUCGCUGGUGCAAUCCCGAAAGGGCGGGGCUUAUGCCGAAAGGCGGGGGCUCCCGGGUCGAAAGGCCGCACUGGAGGAACGUCCGGACUGCACAGGACAGCGCAGGAGGUAACACCUCUCCACCGACAAGCCAGGCGGGUUCGCCCAAGUGGCCCUAAGGUGAGGAUCAGAGCAACAGAGACGAGCCGGUUAAGUCCGGGUGAAACGGGCAAUCUCUGCGCGCAGCAAUACCAAGUAGGCACACCUGAAGCGGCGCGGUUCGCCGCGCUGACGAUUCCUUGUGGUUCCGCAGGGCGAGUGUGCGGGUAGGUAGCACCGAGCCGGGUGGGUGACUCCCGGCCCAGAUGAAUGACGGUCACGCCCGGGGCAACCCGGGUGCACAAAAUCCGGCGUAUCGGCCCGCUUCACAA
This 425-nucleotide RNase P RNA is filed under the name Burkholderiaceae bacterium. RNAcentral describes it as "RNase P RNA component class A". It matches the Rfam family "Bacterial RNase P class A". Rfam says of the family: Ribonuclease P (RNase P) is a ubiquitous endoribonuclease, found in archaea, bacteria and eukarya as well as chloroplasts and mitochondria. Its best characterised activity is the generation of mature 5'-ends of tRNAs by cleaving the 5'-leader elements of precursor-tRNAs. Lineage: Bacteria; Pseudomonadati; Pseudomonadota; Betaproteobacteria; Burkholderiales; Burkholderiaceae. The record is from RNAcentral.